This 300-nucleotide unclassified non-coding RNA is filed under the name uncultured Ascomycota. RNAcentral describes it as "sequence contains ITS1". Lineage: Eukaryota; Fungi; Ascomycota. The record is from RNAcentral.
GAAAUGCGAUAAGUAAUGCGAAUUGCAGAAUUCAGCGGGUGUCCACAUCUGUUCGAGCGUCAUUUCACCAGUCAAGCUCAUGCUUGGUGUUGGGCUCUCUCGUCCCCCACCUUUGGGGGGACGGGCCCGAAAGAACUCGGCGGCGUGGUCCUGCUCCGGGCGUAGCAGCAUAUCUUUCGCUCGUGGGGCUAGGGUCCAGCGCUUUAGCCGUUAAAAUAGCGGGAAAAGAGAGUAACGUCCCUUUUCCUCUACAACCAAGAGUUUGACCUCGGAUCAGAUGGGGACACCCGCUGAACUUAA